GACGAACGCUGGCGGCGUGCUUAACACAUGCAAGUCGAACGCUGAAGCCCUUCGGGGUGGAUGAGUGGCGAACGGGUGAGUAACACGUGGGUAAUCUGCCCUGCACUCUGGGAUAAGCCUUGGAAACGGGGUCUAAUACCGGAUAGGACACAUCGCCGCAUGGUGUGUGUGUGGAAAGUUCCGGCGGUGCAGGGUGGGCCCGCGGCCUGUCAGCUUGUUGGUGGGGUGAUGGCCUACCAAGGCGACGACGGGUAGGCGGCCUGAGAGGGUGACCGGCCACACUGGGACUGGGACACGGGCCAGGAUCCUACGGGAGGCAGCAGUGGGGAAUCUUGCGCAAUGGGCGAAAGCCUGACGCAGCAACGCCGCGUGGGGGAUGACGGCCUUCGGGUUGUAAACCUCUUUCGACCGGGACGAAGGAUUCGUUUGACGGUACCGGUAGAAGAAGCACCGGCUAACUACGUGCCAGCCGCCGCGGUAA
Molecule: ribosomal RNA, 481 nt
Filed under: uncultured bacterium
Lineage: Bacteria
Description: partial 16S ribosomal RNA
Rfam family: Bacterial small subunit ribosomal RNA
Source: RNAcentral